UACGAAGGGGGCUAGCGUUGUUCGGAAUUACUGGGCGUAAAGCGCGCGCAGGCGGUCCUUCAAGUCAGAGGUGAAAGCCCAGAGCUCAACUCUGGAACGGCCUUUGAAACUAGAGGACUUGGGUACGGGAGAGGUGAGUGGAAUUCCGAGUGUAGAGGUGAAAUUCGUAGAUAUUCGGAAGAACACCAGUGGCGAGGGCGGCUCACUGGCCCGUUACCGACGCUCAGGCGCGACAGCGUGGGGAGCAAACAGG
This 253-nucleotide ribosomal RNA is filed under the name uncultured bacterium. RNAcentral describes it as "partial 16S ribosomal RNA". It matches the Rfam family "Bacterial small subunit ribosomal RNA", at positions 524 to 776 of the family's 1533-position model. The record is from RNAcentral.